GUGAACGCUGGCGGUAGGCCUAACACAUGCCAGUCGAACGGCAGCACAGUAAGAGCUUGCUCUUACGGGUGGCGAGUGGCGGACGGGUGAGGAAUACAUCGGAAUCUACUUUUUCGUGGGGGAUAACGUAGGGAAACUUACGCUAAUACCGCAUACGACCUACGGGUGAAAGCAGGGGAUCUUCGGACCUUGCGCGAUUGAAUGACCCGAUGUCGGAUUAGCUAGUUGGCGGGGUAAAGGCCCACCAAGGCGACGAUCCGUAGCUGGUCUGAGAGGAUGAUCAGCCACACUGGAACUGAGACACGGUCCAGACUCCUACGGGAGGCAGCAGUGGGGAAUAUUGGACAAUGGGCGCAAGCCUGAUCCAGCCAUACCGCGUGGGUGAAGAAGGCCUUCGGGUUGUAAAGCCCUUUUGUUGGGAAAGAAAAGCAGCAGGUUAAUACCCCGCUGUUCUGACGGUACCCAAAGAAUAAGCACCGGCUAACUUCGUG
Molecule: ribosomal RNA, 491 nt
Filed under: uncultured bacterium
Lineage: Bacteria
Description: partial 16S ribosomal RNA
Rfam family: Bacterial small subunit ribosomal RNA
Source: RNAcentral